Oncorhynchus tshawytscha (Chinook salmon) is the source of this 553-nucleotide long non-coding RNA. RefSeq lists it as uncharacterized. The record is from RefSeq and is a predicted model, not a curated record. The transcript is spliced from 2 exons. NCBI's taxonomy places the organism in Eukaryota, Metazoa, Chordata, Actinopteri, Salmoniformes, Salmonidae.
UUUUUCCUCAACCCGAGAAAACACAGAGAGAAUGACGGUUAGCUGAACUGCCGACUGGUGCUGGCGUUGCAUUAUGGGAGAUGUAGUUUGGUCCUCUACGGUCUGAAUGGAAUAGAGGUGAUUUCACGUUGUAACUUAUUUAUGUUGCAGUGUUUUUGUACAUGAGUUGUUGUAUUUUUGUACUGUCAACACUGAAAGCACCUAGCAAUGUAUUGGGGAUGUGAGACAGGAUACGUGUUUUACCUUUCUUCAUGCUCCUGUGUAUAACAACUUGUCAGAUGGUGCGUUGGAGACUGAUGUAUUCCUGUCCUGUCUUUUCACAAUACUAUUGCAGGUAUGGUUCUAUUGUCAAAUAAUUAAGAUUAUACAUGAUUUGUAUUAAGGACUGGUUAUUAUUUUAUAGUAUACAUUAUGGCUUUAUGUAUGAGUGUGAUUGUGUGAGUCUGAGAAAACACAGAGAGAAAGAACAACUUGUCAGAUGGUGCAUUGGAGACUGUUCCUGUCCUGUCUUUUCACAUUACUAUUGCAGAUUAACAUAAAAGCCUAAAAGACA